Molecule: ribosomal RNA, 965 nt
Filed under: human oral metagenome
Description: bacterial LSU rRNA
Rfam family: Bacterial large subunit ribosomal RNA
Source: RNAcentral
CGGUCCUAAGGUAGCGAAAUUCCUUGUCGGGUAAGUUCCGACCUGCACGAAUGGCAUAAUGAUGGCAGCGCUGUCUCCAGCAGAGACUCAGUGAAAUCGAAAUCGCAGUGAAGAUGCUGUGUACCCGCGGCUAGACGGAAAGACCCCGUGAACCUUUACUACAGCUUUACAUUGAACUUUGACCUAACUUGUGUAGGAUAGGUGGGAGGCUUUGAAGUAGUGACGCCAGUUACUAUGGAGCCAACCUUGAAAUACCACCCUGGUUAUGUUGGGGUUCUAACUUCGAAUUAACAAAUUCAAGGACAAUGUAUGGUGGGUAGUUUGACUGGGGCGGUCUCCUCCUAAAGAGUAACGGAGGAGUACGAAGGUGCGCUCAGAACGGUCGGAAAUCGUUCAAAGAGUAUAAAGGCAGAAGCGCGCUUAACUGCGAGACCCACAAGUCGAGCAGGUACGAAAGUAGGUCUUAGUGAUCCGGUGGUUCUGUAUGGAAGGGCCAUCGCUCAACGGAUAAAAGGUACUCUGGGGAUAACAGGCUGAUACCGCCCAAGAGUUCAUAUCGACGGCGGUGUUUGGCACCUCGAUGUCGGCUCAUCUCAUCCUGGGGCUGAAGCAGGUCCCAAGGGUAUGGCUGUUCGCCAUUUAAAGAGGUACGCGAGCUGGGUUUAGAACGUCGUGAGACAGUUCGGUCCCUAUCUACCGUGGGCGUUGGAAAUUUGAGAGGAUCUGCUCCUAGUACGAGAGGACCAGAGUGGACGAACCUCUGGUGUUCCGGUUGUCACGCCAGUGGCAUUGCCGGGUAGCUAUGUUCGGAUGGGAUAACCGCUGAAAGCAUCUAAGCGGGAAGCCCACCUCAAGAUAAGAUUUCCCUAAAGAGCCGUUGUAGACUACGACGUUGAUAGGUUGGGUGUGGAAGCAUGGCGACAUGUGUAGCUAACCAAUACUAAUUGCUCGUUUGGCUUGACCAU